RNAcentral lists this ribosomal RNA (473 nucleotides) under uncultured bacterium. Its description in RNAcentral is "bacterial SSU rRNA". It matches the Rfam family "Bacterial small subunit ribosomal RNA", at positions 28 to 517 of the family's 1533-position model. The record is from RNAcentral.
GACGAACGCUGGCGGCGUGCCUAACACAUGCAAGUCGAACGGGGGUGAUACCUUCGGGGAUCACUUAGUGGCGAACGGGUGAGUAACGCGUGAGAAACCUGCCUUUCAGUGGGGGACAACAGUUGGAAACGACUGCUAAUACCGCAUAACAUACACGGACCGCAUGAUCUGUGUAUCAAAGAUUUAUCGCUGAAAGAUGGGCUCGCGUCCGAUUAGGUAGUUGGUGGGGUAAUGGCCUACCAAGCCGACGAUCGGUAGCCGGACUGAGAGGUUGAACGGCCACAUUGGGACUGAGACACGGCCCAGACUCCUACGGGAGGCAGCAGUGGGGAAUAUUGCACAAUGGGGGAAACCCUGAUGCAGCGACGCCGCGUGAGCGAUGAAGUAUUUUCGGUAUGUAAAGCUCUAUCAGCAGGGAAGAAAAUGACGGUACCUGACUAAGAAGCAACCGGCUAAAUACGUGCCAGCAGCCG